AGGCACACAAUCUGCAAAGACAUCUCUCCAGAUCAGAGAGUCAUGAGAAAAGAGCCACAUAAUAAAAGGCUUGGUUUAUUUAUAGAUAGAGAAAAUAUCAACAGUAUAAAAAUAUGACUAGGGAAAGAUACACUUGUGUGUCUCUGGCUGAGGAAGAAAGGGCUUGAGAUGCUGGAUCCACACCUGAGCUGCUCCAAAUGCAGUGUCCUGCCGCAUGUCUCUAUCAAGUGUCCUUAGGAAAAAUAUUUCCUUCAAGACCACAAGUGUGUGUCCAUGCUUUGAGGCUGCUGAGAAGACUGCUGCACUCUUGAAGCUGCCACCUGACUGCACCCUGAGAAGGUAGACAAUUCUGGGUUGCAGGUGACUCAGGAUUUUUAUAAACACAGAAAAAAAAAAAGAUGAUCAUCCUCUUGACAAAAGUGUCUUGUGCCCCAUUUCUAAGUUAAUGGUAGAAAAGGUCUCUAAAAGGAGGUAUCUGGGGUCCUGUGAAGAAAAUGGCCAAAGAAAAAAGUCAUUUGAAAGCCUCCAUACAAAGAUCUGACCUGCCUGACUAUGGCACCUAAGCUUAGGAUCUAAUUCGUCUAAUUCGUCUUUUCCUAUUUUCUAGGGUGAGCGUGUUAUUUAAGGGAAGGUAU
Molecule: long non-coding RNA, 635 nt
Filed under: Cyanistes caeruleus (blue tit)
Lineage: Eukaryota; Metazoa; Chordata; Aves; Passeriformes; Paridae
Description: lncRNA (ENSCCEG00000023818.1)
Source: RNAcentral